GAACAGUUAUCCAAUCAAAACAAAAUCCGAAUGGAAAUAUUCUUAACAGUUAUCUAUAAAACACAAAGAAGAAAAUCAAACAUGUGCCAUUCCAAAAGCUGCAUUCUUUUCAGAUGUUAAAAGCAAGAAAGACACAAAUCAUUAAAAACACAUGCAAAACUCAACCUUUUGAAAUCCAAUUAAAAAGGUUGAAAUGAUUUCAGUUCUUAAAACAAGAAAGCUGCUUUUCAUUUUUUUUUUAAAUCUAAUUUAAUUUUAUAUGAUACUAUC
RNAcentral lists this unclassified non-coding RNA (270 nucleotides) under Hevea brasiliensis (rubber tree). Lineage: Eukaryota; Viridiplantae; Streptophyta; Magnoliopsida; Malpighiales; Euphorbiaceae. The record is from RNAcentral.